RNAcentral lists this ribosomal RNA (249 nucleotides) under uncultured bacterium. Its description in RNAcentral is "partial 16S ribosomal RNA". It matches the Rfam family "Bacterial small subunit ribosomal RNA", at positions 528 to 776 of the family's 1533-position model. The record is from RNAcentral.
GAGGAUGCAAGCGUUAUCCGGAAUGAUUGGGCGUAAAGCGUCUGUAGGUGGCUUUUUAAGUCCGCCGUCAAAUCCCAGGGCUCAACUCUGGACAGGCGGUGGAAACUACCAAGCUGGAGUACGGUAGGGGCAGAGGGAAUUUCCGGUGGGGCGGUGAAAUGCGUAGAGAUCCGGAGGAACACCGACGGCGUAGGCAGCGCCCUAGACGAGACCUGACGCUCAGGCACGAAAGCGCGGGGAGCGAACAGG